Molecule: microRNA precursor, 135 nt
Filed under: Marmota monax (woodchuck)
Lineage: Eukaryota; Metazoa; Chordata; Mammalia; Rodentia; Sciuridae
Source: RNAcentral
GGGAGGUGAGGGGGCACAGCCAGGGGAGGUGAGGGGGCAGCCGGAGGGGGCUGUGAACGAGAGAGAGGACGGGGCUGGGGCCUNUCCCCUGGCUGUGCCCCUUCACCUCCCCUGGCUGUGUCCCCUUCACCUCCC